AGUGAACGCUGGCGGCGUGCUUAACACAUGCAAGUCGAACGAGAACGGUCCUUCGGGAUGUCAGCUAAGUGGCGGACGGGUGAGUAAUGUAUAGUUAAUCUGCCCUUUAGAGGGGGAUAACAGUUGGAAACGACUGCUAAUACCCCAUACUCCUUCUAUAUUAAUUAUAGUUGGGAAAUGGUUUUUUCGCUAAAGGAUGAGACUAUAUGGUAUCAGGUAGUUGGUGGGGUAAGAGCCUACCAAGCCAAUGACGCCUAGCUGGUCUGAGAGGAUGAUCAGCCACACUGGAACUGAGACACGGUCCAGACUCCUACGGGAGGCAGCAGUGGGGAAUAUUGCACAAUGGAGGAAACUCUGAUGCAGCAACGCCGCGUGGAGGAUGACGCAUUUCGGUGUGUAAACUCCUUUUAUAUAGGAAGAUAAUGACGGUACUAUAUGAAUAAGCACCGGCUAACUCCGUG
Molecule: ribosomal RNA, 461 nt
Filed under: uncultured bacterium
Lineage: Bacteria
Description: bacterial SSU rRNA
Rfam family: Bacterial small subunit ribosomal RNA
Source: RNAcentral